UCUGCCAAAACUUGAGUUGCUUUUGGACUGCGAAAUGGGAUCGGGAGGAUGGAGCGCGAAGGAGACACCGCAAUGGCGCUCCCGCUAAUAUUUUUGAAAGAUCAAGGAAUCGCAGACGACGUAUAGGGACGAAACCAGGGAGGUGGCAUGUUUGGAGCACAGGCAGGAAGCAUAAUUGCCGAAGCAUCCCCUCGUAAAGAGAAGGACAUUACUAUAUUGGUUCUUGCUAAUCAAUGGUGCCAAGAAGGGUAAAGAUGCUGAUCACGCUUCACAACCCCAGCAUUUGUCAUUGGUCUUCAUUGUAUAAAUUUCAACUAAGGGUUUCAUUGACAAUCCCGGAAUCCCCCCUCUUUUCCAGGCAAGUAGGUGAGCAUAAAGCGACCUUGAUAUUGUAGCAGAUAAAUGACAAUUACAUUUCAGCCAAGCUGCCAUUCUAAGGAGUGCAAUGAAGAGACCACUCUGGUGUAGGAAGGCCUCAAAAUUCAAAGUCUAAAUUCCCACUUCCGAAAGGAACGGGCAUGAAAAUGAGAGACUGGGGUGGGGUGGGGGGGUUUGUCUAGCGGCGUUGUCCUAAAGUUCCUACUUCCCCUUUGGAGCCUGUGCAGGCACAAACAUCCAUGGUGGAUCUUCUAUUUCCAACCUAGCUGCCAACCAGUCUUUCUUCUUGGAAUGAUGCGUGGGUGAAGAUUAAUUAAGUAGAAUCAAAUUAAGGUGAAUACGGUCGAAGAAGAAGAAGAAAGAAGUAACAAAUAAAUUAAAGAAAAGGUUUGCUAGGAGGGGGAAACCUUUCUUUUUAAUUUCGCCUUUCUCUUAAUCUGAUUUUGCUACUGUAAUUUGCAUUAGUAUAAUUGUGAUUUAUGAUUUUCUGUUUCACGAUUUUAGCAUUUCUAUUAGCCUUUUUUUUCCUGACAAACAAUUAUAUAAAAAAAAUAACUGAAAUGAUUAUUUGUAUUUUAUUUGUUAGUCUGGUGGCUCGUGGUAGGGGCCUUUGUAGCAACUUUUUAUAUGAUUAAGAUUCCAAUCCCAUUUGAGACCACUUUCUAUAGAUUGUUAGUAAAACAACACAAUAAGGAGUCCACUCCAUAAAUAGAUUUUCGGGACUUACAUGGUGCUCUUUAUUUAUGAGGUGUGUUUGAUGAGUUUAUUUAAUAUUUAAAAAAAUAACAGCAUCAUUGUGGCUUUCACUGUCAACAAGAAAAAGAAAUGAAAAGAAAAAUGUUAAAAGCAGUAGAGAACUCAAACAUUCAAGUACAACCAUUAUAACAAUAUUAUUAUGGAUCUUUAUUAUCCUUUAUAAUGAUGAUCUAAGGCCGAAAGAAAGAACGGUUAAGUAAUAAAUAUUAGCCCUUAUUUUAAUGUCUGCCAUCAGCAUUCAUCUCAAGAUGAAUGGAUGCCUAAUUAUAUAUAGCUAUUGGCCUCAAAUGGGAGUUGCUAGGAGUUGUUCAUAAAAUUGUCCUUUAUAUCUACACGUGUAUAGCAUUUGUUCGACUUAGGAAAAUAGGGAUAAAAAAUGGUAUUUCUACAGAACGAUACAUCAAGGACAUUUCCUGAAACUUCUGAUGCCUUGCCCAAAAUGUAGAUAUCUUUUAUUGGUGUAUUUUAUAUUUGUGUUAAUUAAACACAUAAUGUAAUAUACAAAUAUCUCAUAAAGUGUCGCUUUUAAAUGUCGAAGUACGUAGUAUUUUUGAAUUUUAAAGAUGGUGAGUUCAACCUACAUUUAUUUUCUCAAACAUAAUUAAAGAUAAGAACUGGUUUGUAGUAGUAAUUUAUAUGUAGGAAGCACUCAACAUAAUGCAUUUGAACAUUUUGACUGAGUUAAUAUUUUGUUUCAUCCAAGUCUCUUCGGUCGGACCUAAUAGGAGUUGGAUGGGGUAUAUGGUAGCGAUGAUUUAUUGACGAAAUCAAAGCUUCUGACCUAGCCAUGCGUUGAGAAUAUAGAUAUAAAUGAAGCCUAUAUUUGGGAAUAGGAUUUUUAAUCAUCCAUCUCGGAGUGCAUGGUCACGCGAGUAUAUAAAUCAAGGUUUGACUUGACAACGUUGUGCUAUUAAUGGGCCUUAAAUUUGUUCCUUGAACGUGAAGGGAGUUUCUCAUGGGAGGAAUAGCCGACCAUCCUGCUCCCUCUCCGCAUCAUCUGGACCUCACAUCUCUCUCUCUCUCUCUUUCUCUCUCUCUCUCUGUUCGCUUAAUUAGCUGUAUAAUCAUCCAUGGAAGCGAUCACAAUCCCAUCUAACUAGUUAAACUCUCUCUCCAUUUCUCUCUCCCUCUCUCUCUCUCUCUCUCUGAUCUUUCUCCAUGCCCUCUAUUUCUAUUCUUCUUUUCCCCCUGCCA
Molecule: long non-coding RNA, 2328 nt
Organism: Diospyros lotus (date-plum)
Lineage: Eukaryota; Viridiplantae; Streptophyta; Magnoliopsida; Ericales; Ebenaceae
Exons: 4
Source: RefSeq, a predicted model, not a curated record